CCUACGGGUGGCAGCAGUGAGGAAUCUUUGUCCAUGGGCGGAAGCCUGAACCAGCCAAGUAGCGUGCGGGAUGAAGGCCCUACGGGUCGUAAACCGCUUUUGCACGGGGAUAACACCCUCCACUUGUGUCGGUCUGCAUGUACCGUGCGAAUAAGGGCCGGCUAAUUCCGUUCCAGCCGCCGCGGUAAUACGGAAGGCCCGAGCGUUAUCCGGUUUCCUUUGGCUUAAAGGGAGCGUAGGCGGGCGUUCAAGUCAGCUGUAAAAUCGCGCGGCGCAACCGCGCCCCGCAGUUGAAACUGGACGCCUUGAGUUCACAACAGGCAGGCGGAAUUCGUGGUGUAGCGGUGAAAUGCAUAGAUAUCACGAGGAACCCCGAUUGCGAAGGCAGCCUGCCGGGGUGCGACUGACGCUGAGGCUCGAAGGUGUGGGUAUCAAACAGGAUUAGAUACCCCAGUAGUC
This 459-nucleotide ribosomal RNA is filed under the name uncultured bacterium. Its description in RNAcentral is "partial 16S ribosomal RNA". It matches the Rfam family "Bacterial small subunit ribosomal RNA", at positions 338 to 795 of the family's 1533-position model. The record is from RNAcentral.